This 106-nucleotide microRNA precursor is filed under the name Microtus ochrogaster (prairie vole). RNAcentral describes it as "miRNA (ENSMOCG00000009526.1)". The record is from RNAcentral. Lineage: Eukaryota; Metazoa; Chordata; Mammalia; Rodentia; Cricetidae.
GAAAUGCCUUCAUGAGAUCCAGCUGUAAGGUAUUCUGUCAAUUAGUGCUCAAUGGGGAAGAGACCAACUCAUUGUGGGUGGUGCUAUCUCUGGACUGGUGGUCCUG